RNAcentral lists this ribosomal RNA (481 nucleotides) under uncultured bacterium. RNAcentral describes it as "bacterial SSU rRNA". It matches the Rfam family "Bacterial small subunit ribosomal RNA", at positions 329 to 803 of the family's 1533-position model. The record is from RNAcentral.
UGGCUAACUCCUACGGGAGGCAGCAGUGGGGGAUUUUGGACAAUGGGGGCAACCCUGAUCCAGCAAUGCCGCGUGAGUGAAGAAGGCCUUCGGGUUGUAAAGCUCUUUCAGCCGGAAAGAAAUCGCGCAGGAUAAUACUCUGCGUGGAUGACGGUACCGGAAGAAGAAGCACCGGCUAACUACGUGCCAGCAGCCGCGGUAAUACGUAGGGUGCGAGCGUUAAUCGGAAUUACUGGGCGUAAGGCGUGCGCAGGCGGUUAUGUAAGACAGAUGUGAAAUCCCCGGGCUCAACCUGGGAACUGCGUUUGUGACUGCAUAACUAGAGUACGGCAGAGGGAGGUGGAAUUCCGCGUGUAGCAGUGAGAUGCGUAGAUAUGCGGAGGAACACCGAUGGCGAAGGCAGCCUCCUGGGCCAGUACUGACGCUCAUGCACGAAAGCGUGGGGAGCAAACAGGAUUAGAUACCCCGGUAGUCCAGCUGG